Molecule: ribosomal RNA, 18 nt
Filed under: Melanogaster tuberiformis
Lineage: Eukaryota; Fungi; Basidiomycota; Agaricomycetes; Boletales; Melanogastraceae
Also listed under: 3 other names
Description: partial 28S ribosomal RNA
Source: RNAcentral
CUUGACCUCAAAUCAGGU